AGAAAAAGUGUGAAUUUUCAAGGAAAUUAAGUGAAAAAUGUGAGAUUUUUUCUAUUAAGCUUGAGUUUUCUUAUUCCCAAGCAUUUCUCUUUAUUUUCCAUGAUUAAAUUACAUGUUUUCAUGAUGAAUUCAAUUCUGAAAAAAUGGGUUAGGAGGGAGAAACUUGUUAGAUUAAUUUGAUUUUAAGUUAUGUUAGUGUUUUAAGUUAGUUUAGCAUAUUUAGAAAUAAAACAACAAGAAAAGAACUUAUUUUCUCCCACAAUCAUUAAUGGCCGAAUUUACCAUGUGUUGAGUGAGGAUAAAUUUGAUUUUCAUUCUAGGAUAAUUGGUUAAGAAAUGAUGAAUUAUGAGCCUAGAAAAAUAAUGGGAAUUUUCGGAGCAAAAAUUUGAUUUUUUACCCACUAGGGGUUUUCGUAAUUUACUACCAAGACUGAUAAAUUGAAUCUCAUUCACAGUCAUUGAGGUAUUGUGGAUAUAAUUGGAUAAUUGAAAUUGAAAUGGAUGGAAUUGGAGUUGAAUUGGGGAUUUUAGGAAUUUACACCGUGUAUAGGCGAGUUAGGUCAGACAUCGCAAUUAAGCGAUUGUCUAGACAUUUCAAAUCCUAUCUAGUGCAUACGCAUGGAUAAGAGCCUGAAAUAAUUUAUGAUAAAUUGACACAAUUUAUUGAAUUUUGUGUCAUGGAUUAUGGAUAGGUGGUGAGUCAAUUAUUUCGGGUAAGAGACUGCACCCGAGGGCGGAAGAUAGGAGUAUUUAUACUCCUAAUACUGUGAGUAAACUUAUUCUCGUCUUAAUUAUCUAGAGUAGUUUUAUACAACUGUGUGAUUUUAUGGAAAAUGGGUUUAAAUGGUAAAUUGCUAUGUUUUAGGAGAAAUUGUGAUUUUAUAAAUUUUCUGAAAAAUCGAAUACUGGUUUUGAAAAUAGAGUAAUUGGAGACUGCCUACUUGUGUUGUAAAUUUAUGGUUUUAAAUUGAAUGGCUUAUGACAAUAUAUGAGCAUGAAUGGCUAAACUGAUUUUGGUGUCAGAAUUAUUUGUAUUGUGUAUUCAGCCUUGAGAGGCUAGAUUGCAAUAGAUUUUCAUGCCAUGCUAGAAUGAAUUUUAUUGAAUUGGUGGAGUAUAUAUUAAUUAUUUACUGUAGAGGAGGUUCCUUGGACCAGCCUAUUAGAAGGGCACAGUAAACUCCAUUAUAUUAUUACCUCGAACGGAGAGACGCGUAGGGUAUCUCCUAGGGUAAAGCUUAGGGUUCACUUCACGCCAAACCACCACGUGAAGGGGAACUCAGCCAACGCCAAGGAACAGCUGUAUUUUUCUCAAACUAAAAAUAUAUUUUAAGUGUAUACAAAAUUUUAACAGCCUUGGCGGACUCGGUUGGAUGUCCUGCGCAAGGUAUCACCGAGUAUGAGUUUUGGCACGAGCCAAAGUUUUAAGAAAUUCAUAAGCCAAGUUGAUUACUCGAUUUAUAUGGAUUGAUUUUAUUUGGUUGAAAUGAACUGAAGGGUAAUGAAAUUACAGUAUGAUGACUUAUUUUAAUUGUCUCCAUUUACUCAGUUUUAGAUACUUUAGAUGGUAUCUGUUUACUCACUAGGAUUAUAAAAUCUCACCCCUUCUUCCUAUACAUUUUUCAGGCUUAGGACAGUUUGUAGAUAGUCGAGUAGGACGAGAACUAAGCUCGGAACUGCAUUAUAGAAAGUAAGAGUUCACAGUCUUACAUCCUCUUGGUCAAUUGGAGCCCACGUGUCAUUGCAGAUCAAAACUUAUAUUUUGGUUAUCUGUAUUUCUAUUCAUACAAUUUUUACUUUACUUUCAUGUGCAAAAAAAUUAUUUACGAAUAUUUCUAUAAAAAUUUAUUUUAUGAGAAAAUAAAAUAUUUUAUUGAUUAUUUUUGAAUAGUAUUAGUUGUUAACAAUUUACUUUCAAAUGAACGUUUUAGAUACUUAUUUUGUUUUUAAAUCAUUAAAUAUAUAUUUUCUGCUUACC
RNAcentral lists this long non-coding RNA (1975 nucleotides) under Theobroma cacao (cacao). RNAcentral's name for it is "long non-coding RNA (TCAC_LNC001873)". Lineage: Eukaryota; Viridiplantae; Streptophyta; Magnoliopsida; Malvales; Malvaceae. The record is from RNAcentral.